GCAGAUGUGGCUCCUUUUAGCUGAAUAAUACGUUAAAGGAAUAAUAAUUUUUUAAAAGGAGAUCGACCUCACCCAUAGACAGUGAACGAGAUUAGGGUUUGGGAGCUGCCGCACAACCUUUGCCGCCUCCGCGCCUCUCCUUCCUCCCGGCCGCCGCCGCCAGCGGCGCAGUCCCUCCUGCACGCAGGCUCUGGUUCACCAAAGGGAGACGGGAUUUUGUAUCGUGCUCACGAUCAUCAUCAGGAUGCACCUCAUCAUGGUUAUUUCUUCCUGCCAGUAGAUCUACUGCCUUCAGUUGGGCUGGCUGAGAUCCUGCGGACUGCGACCAACCUCUUAAAAAGAACAAAAAGAAGACCUUGCGUGGACCCCCCGGACAAAGCGCUCUGCGCUCGGCGAGAAGGGAUGCUCGGGAGCGCUGGGUCGGGAACGCGAGGAUCUCCGGUGCCGGGGGCCCCCACCCGGCCUUGCGGACCUCCGAGGGGAUCCAGCUGCAUUAGACACGAGUGACCUUUUAAAUCUACGCCCAGCCUUUACCUGCAGGCGAGUUCCGGAAGGCUGAUUCCCCAGAUUCCGGCCCCGGACCGCGGAGGCUCGCUCCUGCGGCACGCCCGGCCGGGCUGUGCCGGCUCUCGGCCAGCGAGGAAAAAGCCUGGAUCCGAAAGGAUGGGGGAGAACAAAGAGCCUUUGGAAGACGUCGCUGUUAUCUCAUUGUCUGUGUGCCUGGGGGAGCUGCGGUGGGGAGGGCGCCGAGGUCCGCUCCCCGCCCCCCCACCCCCAACCCCUCCCCGCUGUCACUGCGGACGCGCGCGCCGCUUUUUCCUCCUUUUUCCCAGUUUUCGCAUAUCCUCUCCCGCACCUCUUCCUCGCUUCCACCUUUCCUUCCUUCCUCAGGAGCAAGGCCUCUCUCUCCGUGUUCACAGCGGACCUUGAUUUAAAUGUCCAUACAAUUAAGGCACGCGGUGAAUGCCAAGAACGGGGCUGACUGAGCACCGUCGCUCCGAGCGGGCCCGCCGAGGAGCCCCGGCACCCUCCGCGGAGCUCGGCGCGCGGGCGGGCGGGCGGGGUCGCGGGCUCCUGCUUGGCAGGGCUGCCCCGACCCCAGCCCUUGGGGUGCGGAGGCGUGUGCCUGUGACAGACGGGGUCUUAGCGAGGCAAACAGACUCAGAGAGACAGAAGCUGAUUCUGUGACAGCAACACGGAUCUAUGCGAGCACAGAUGCGGGAUGGGGAUGGGGAUGGGGGCGGGGGAGAGCGCGUUGCGGAGGGCUUCUGUGUGCAUAUUUUUCUCUGUGCUCGGGUGCAUUGU
This is a long non-coding RNA of Manis pentadactyla (Chinese pangolin), 1305 nucleotides long. RefSeq lists it as uncharacterized. NCBI's taxonomy places the organism in Eukaryota, Metazoa, Chordata, Mammalia, Pholidota, Manidae. The transcript has 6 exons. The record is from RefSeq and is a predicted model, not a curated record.